CGACGUCCUGGGGAAACUCCCCGCCAUUCUCCACCUCGCCCUCCCUCUUCCCGAUCCGGCGCCUAGCUUCGCCGUCCAUCGACGCUGAAGAAAGGAACUCCAAUCUUCAGGUAUGUUGUUAGAUUUUACAACCUUGUGUUAUUUUGUGAGUUUGGUUGUAAUCCAUCGUCCCCUUUAUGCUGAUUUUGUGAGAUGUAGCUAAUUCUAGCUUGAAAAAAAAAAGAUGCAGCAAUAUCUCUCUGUAUUGUACCAGGCGUAGGAAAUUAAUCACUGAAAUAUAUGCUAUAUUUUACUCGGAUUAGUAUUCGAGCAAUUAGGUGUUCCUAAUUGUUCAUUGCCUCAUUGCAUAGAAAUUGCUCAAACACUAUACAAUUUCAGCAACUCAUUGCCUGUACAUGAGUACAGACUAAUUUCAGUGGUAUUGUACAAUUUCAGCAACUCAUUGCUGAAAUUAACAAUUUGCCAGUACAGUGCUGUACUGAUUACUCCAAUUAGGUGAUGAGUACAGACUAAUUUCAUCUACCUGUUCAAGUAUCUGGAGAUGAAGUGCUUGUUGGCAAGAUCGAGAUUCAUAUGCCCGUGCAAUGUGUAUGACUUCACCAAUUUCUGAGAGUUCACUUUCUAUUGGUUUAGUAUAUUCCAUUCGACUAAGCUGGUGUUGUUUUGGUUUACUGAAUUAACUAUCUUAGCUCUUUAGCACCAUUUUCACAACACUCUUGUUGCUUAGUACAUAUAUGUGCCCAGUGCAGUCAGAUAUUUCUCUCUUCACCACUUUGCCAUGGAAUUGUUGUUUUUUAGACUACAAUGUGCUGCAGCUAUCACACGAAGCUAACUCUUAGGAGCAAAGUAAAGUUCAAUAAUUUGAAUCCUUUGUUGGAACGACAUAAUUUAAAUAGUAUAUCUUUUGUCAGGUUUUCACAAUACACUUUUCUUCUUGUUUGCAGAGCAAGUAGCGUCCGAGAAGGGUCACCAUCAAUCAGUACAUUAUUCUAGUUACCUUCUAAUUUGAUAAAGGUCGUAUGCCCCUUCGUAUGCUCUUGAUGGUUGGUAAGCACCGUGAAGUGCCUCUCCUUAUCAGCAACAAUUGAGACCAGGAAGAUUCAUCGCCAGAUUUGAGACCAGGAAGAUUCAUUGCCAGAUUUGACUCUUGUGCAUCUCUGUCGUAACUAUCUAAGUUCCUAGUAUGUGCUUACCUCGAUGGCCCGUGUGCUUCCUUGCUUCAGAACAAUAUGGAGCAAUUACCUAACGUCGUGCUUAUAUUUUGUAAAACUAGAAGUGCUCUGGUUGAAUGUGGCACUAUGUAACUAUGUGUUACUGGACAUGUUCACUAAUUCUGUUAUUAAGUGAAACCUGGACCUAUAUAUUUGCUACCAGUGAUGUUCCAUCUUAAUGCCUGCUAUGCUAAAG
This 1407-nucleotide long non-coding RNA is filed under the name Triticum aestivum (bread wheat). RNAcentral describes it as "long non-coding RNA (TAES_LNC013873)". Lineage: Eukaryota; Viridiplantae; Streptophyta; Magnoliopsida; Poales; Poaceae. The record is from RNAcentral.